RNAcentral lists this long non-coding RNA (3639 nucleotides) under Octopus vulgaris (common octopus). The record is from RNAcentral. Lineage: Eukaryota; Metazoa; Mollusca; Cephalopoda; Octopoda; Octopodidae.
CAGAAUAUUUCAAGAUGACGACUAAGUUGACGACGAUGAUGAUGAUGAUGGCGAGGAUGAUGAUGACGGUGGCGAUGAUGACACCGACAACAAAUCACCCGAGGUAAUCAAAUGUUUACUCAUUUAGUUUUAAACUAAUUAGCAUCAAAGGGGAAAUGCGCCAUGAAUUCUAAAGACACUUAAUUGACAUGUGAGACUUCAAUAGUGAAAAAUGGCGUUCGUUGUUGUUCACGUUCGUUUCUAAUCUUUUUUUUCCAACGAAUGUUUUUAACUGUUUUUCGUUAUUGUUAUUGUUCUCGAUGUUGUAAUUGCUUAGCCCAAGGUUGACUCUGACAAAUGUAUACUAUCAGUAAAGAUUUUUCCAGACACGACCAUCCCGAAUUUAUUCUCAUAUAUAAUGCACUGGGGAACACUGCAUCCUGUGUAUCUACUUUUAAGAUUGUAUGGUCUAAUUUGAAAGGAUUUGACUGCUAUGUCUAGCAGGUCGAUCAGCCACCAAGAGACUCUCUACUUGAUCGUUGACUUUCUGAUGAAGCAGCGCAUUCAAAGGUAUUCUUCGUUAUAUUUCAACCAUUGCAUGACUGAAUGCUAAUGUAUUUCGUGGACCUCGAGAGGAUGGAAGACGUCGAUUGUUUUGAAUAGGUUAAUCAGAAAAAGUAGGACAGUGGCCAUUGUUGUGAAGGCAGUUUAAAUGCAUAGAAAUAUUUUAAACUUUUAAAUCACGUAUUAUGUCUUUUGUAUUAGCUUUGCUCUUACAGGCCAAAUAUGAAAGUGAAAUAUUCUAAGCUCUGGCCAUCAGAAUAUGCACUCGACGGCUUCGCAUCAUAAAAGGAAAGAGGUGAAAUAGCAUCAGUGCGUGUGUUUGUUAUCGACGUAUUGCCCCUCCCCCCCACCUCAGCUAUAUCGGUGCACUAUUUCCUGCAAAAGAUACGCCUGGACCACUAGUAACUGAAGAAAGCCACUAAGGAGAUUUGCGUUUCAGCUGAAACAAACUUAAGGUCGCUGCGGUAAACAAAGGGCCUCAGACAUGUGGAAACCUUCUGCAGACGAAAAGUAAUUCCGUCUUCAUCUCAUUGACCAACUCAGACAAAGCAUGCAGGCUAAGGACGGAACGCUUGUGAGUGUGAGAUACUUUCUGAUAAUAGAGCAGGAUUUCUGACAUUUCGAUAGAUUCGGGAGAGCUUGCAAUAACUCAUGGGAGUAAUUCAUGCAAUUCCUGUUUAGGGUAAAGUAUAUCCAAUGUUUAUUCGACCUUUUCUUUGAUUACUCUGGCUAUGACUCUAGCCAAGAUCAUUAUUGGAGUUCAGCAAGCGUAAUAAGAAUUUCAGCAAAAGUACUCCGAAUAUUUAAAUUUCCAUUUUUGUCUCAAGCUCUUUCACAAUCUCUGUGGUGUCAGCCUUUUAUUACCAAACUCGGUCAUCCAAGCCCUCCGAUCCUACACUCGAGUUGAGUUUGCAUGACUCUCCUGAAUCAGGAGUUUGUUACUAACCUUGGGAAUGAGAGACAAAAGAGUGAACUAGUUGUUUGAUAUCCCACUCUCUUAUUGAUUCUGGAACCAAAACAAACUCUUACAAACCACAAACAAAUGAUGAGAAAUCUUUCUUUGCGCUGACUGUGGUAUCAGGCGGAUCUGUGAAAAGGAAUUACCACCACUUUCGUAGAUUCAUCGCACGAAAACUGAAAUAUAGGUGAAAAGAAUGACGUCUCUCCAGACGCCUCCACAGCAGCAUCCUCUGUGCUGAGGCGUCUGUGUGUAUUGUAAAUUUAAGGAUACCUCAGGUUACAUUUUUAACUGUUUAAUAUACAUUUGAUAAUGUGCUUCGAGAUAUAGAAAGUAAGAAAAAAGAGAUCGACAUGAAAGAGCCGAAUUUGAUGUGUUACAUCAAUUUAAUGAUCCUUUCUUCCGAGUUAAAAUACUGAGUUCAAAUCCCGCCGAGGUUGACCUUGCCUUUUAUCUUUUCGGGGUCGACAAAAUAAGUAACAGUUGAAUUCUGGGGUCCAUGUCAUUGACUUUCCUCGCCCUCAAAAUAACUGACCCUGUGACAAACGUUGAAAGCAAUUUAAUGUGCUUUUAUAUAGCUAAGGAAGAAACCAUUGAAAAGUUAAGAAAUUUGGUCAAAGUUGCAAAGCAAUCACGUUGGAACAAAAGGUUUUGUGACUGUCUCUCUCUUCCUUGUAUUUUUGGUGGUCUGUAUAUUCGAGCAUCUAUGGCACCAAACAAAACACGCACACAUACACACACACAUACACACACACACACACACACAUAUCCACCUAUAUACAAAAAUAUUAAUGUGUGUAUAUAUAUAUAUAUAUAUAUAUAUAUGAAUGUAUCUAUGUAUAGAUAUGUGUAUGCAUAUAUAUAUAUAUAUACAUAGCCAUACAAAAUACUGAUUCUGUAUGCCUCAGAGUUGGAAUUCACUCACAAAUACAAACUUAUAUAAACUCUGACAACAAGAUGUUUAACGAGAAUAGUUUGUCUAUGUAUCCGCUUCUCCUAAUAUGCAGAUAACACAGAUUGCCAAUGGGGAGAAGCUUGGUAUUUAUAUAUACCUGAGGCUUGCUGCAACUCUCUGUGUUAUGUAAAUACCUUCAAUCCGAAGUUGUUUAACAUGGAAAACUCACAAAUUUGAGUAGCUUGUGAAAUAACUAAAGCUACGCUACUCAUCAGAUAAGAUCGAAUCAGAAAAUUAGAUUCGCUAACUUUCAAAAUAAAAAUAUCAACACGAAAUUUUCAUCUCUUUGACUUUAACCGUCACUCCAUAAUAAUAAUAAUAAUAAUAAUGACUUCUAAUUUUGAAAGAAAACUAAUAAUUUUAAGGAAAAGCAGUUAGUCGGUAUCAUAAACUGCAAAUACGUAACUUCUGCUUUAUUUUCAUCGAUCACGAUAGGUCGGACCGCAAAGUUCACCUCAGCGAUAUUGGAACUCAGAAAAAAGACGCACGAGAUGCUGCUGUAAUGAUUCUAUCUGCUCACCGGCUUAAAAAUGGUGAUGAUGAUGAUGAUCAUCAUCAUCAUCAUCAUCAUCAUGAUAAUGAUCAUGAUGAUGAUGUCUGCUAGUUCAAUUCGUUGAAUUUCAUUUUUUAUUUUUGUUCUUUAAGAAAUAAAUUUAUAUCAAUUAUAUAUAUUUUUGUAAAUGACAAACUGCAAAAUCCGUGAAGCAAUCCAUCGGGACAUAUAAAGUGCAUAGAAAUAAUGCAUUUAUCUUCUUAUAUUCCCCCCUCACAGCUAGGCUUUCUAUCAAUGGAAUGUAUUUCGCUGACUCCUCCUUUCUCGCUAAUAAUAUCUCUCACCACUCGUUCAGUAUACAGAAUCAUGCUAAAAUACGAUUAAACAGCAUUUUACAAAAAUCUAAUAUAUAAACUGUUCAAAAACAAAUCUCAUAUCUCCACAACCACGGCGACGACGACCAACAUCACCACCAUCGCCACCCCCUUCAAUGUAAACAGGAUAACCAUUGAACUAUUCCAGAAUUUUCUUUCCAAUAAAAUAUUCCAAACGAAUCGCUUUCUUCAUUAAGAACAAAAUUGAUGAAUCCAAGUCUCUUACACAACCACUUCGAAAAUAUCAGCUUAUUCCAAGAUACAUAUUAAAAUAAAUUAAUAAUAAUAAUAAUAAUAAUAAUAAGAAGAAGAAGAA